Molecule: non-coding RNA, 592 nt
Organism: Aegilops tauschii subsp. strangulata
Lineage: Eukaryota; Viridiplantae; Streptophyta; Magnoliopsida; Poales; Poaceae
Source: RefSeq, a predicted model, not a curated record
UCCCGCUCCUUGGCGCGCUCCCCUCGGCCGCCGCGCCUACGGGCUUCGCGUCCCUGGGGUCCGACCGCGCGCUCGCCCGCGGGGUCUGCUUCGGCGACGCCACGCUCUCCGACUGCCUCGGGUGCCUGUCGGCUUGCUGGCCAAGAACCUGACCGACGGCUGCGGCGCCACCACCCGGCUUGCCGGCGUCUGGAACGACGGCUGCUUCGUGUCGUACGCCGACACCGUUGCCCCCUCGGCCACCACACUGCUCCCCACUGCGCUGGUGCCUCGCAGCGAACCCAGCGACCCCAACGACUCCAACGGCUUCAUCAACCUUAGUCUCGGUCUCCUCUACGCCCUUGUAGCCAUGCAGUUCGUCAACCUGAUGCUGACAAUCGCUAAUGCUUUCAACUGACCGGUGAAGAGAAGAAUGCAAUGCAAUCAGCACGCACGUGACUGAGCAAACUGCAACAAACUACACUGUGUGUGUGUGUGUUCGCGUGGUCUCCAUCGAUGAAUUAGGUGCAUGCCUACUUCUGUUUCAGUUUCGUUCAGUUAUGUGUGUGAUGUGGGCAUGUCGUGAGUUGUAGUGCAAGAAUGGCACUCCGGC